AGUGAACGCUGGCGGUAGGCCUAACACAUGCAAGUCGAACGGCAGCACAGGAGAGCUGCUCUCUGGGUGGCGAGUGGCGGACGGGUGAGGAAUACAUCGGAAUCUACUCUGUCGUGGGGGAUAACGUAGGGAAACUUACGCUAAUACCGCAUACGACCUACGGGUGAAAGCAGGGGACCUUCGGGCCUUGCGCGAUUGAAUGAGCCGAUGUCGGAUUAGCUAGUUGGCGGGGUAAAGGCCCACCAAGGCGACGAUCCGUAGCUGGUCUGAGAGGAUGAUCAGCCACACUGGAACUGAGACACGGUCCUGACUCCUACGGGAGGCAGCAGUGGGGAAUAUUGGACAAUGGGCGCAAGCCUGAUCCAGCCAUACCGCGUGGGUGAAGAAGGCCUUCGGGUUGUAAAGCCCUUUUGUUGGGAAAGAAAUCCAGCUGGCUAAUACCCGGUUGGGAUGACGGUACCCAAAGAAUAAGCACCGGCUAACUUCGUGCCAGCCGCCGCAGUAA
This 505-nucleotide ribosomal RNA is filed under the name uncultured bacterium. Its description in RNAcentral is "partial 16S ribosomal RNA". It matches the Rfam family "Bacterial small subunit ribosomal RNA", at positions 29 to 523 of the family's 1533-position model. The record is from RNAcentral.